UACCGAGUACACCCACGAAUUGUUUUGAUGCUAAAACACUGCGCUGCUGCUUCUCUUGUCGCUCGUCGCUCUUAUUUGUGUGUGUGUCUCUUGUAUUUUUACCUCUUCUUAUAUUGUGUAUCUCAUUGUUGAUAUAUUUUUUUUUAAAUUUUUUUCUUUCACUUUUAGUUUAAACAAAAAUAAAUUUAAAUAAAAUAGAAAAAAAAAAUAGAAAAAACGGCACACAGCUCGCUCUAACUGCCGCGAUGUAUUGCAAAUUAAAACUUAAUUCUUUUUCUUAACCAAACACAAGAAAAAAAAAUUACAAAAAAAAAAAAAAUAAGUAUCUAAACCAUUUGUGUGUGGCAACAUAAACCUUCGAUAAAUUGAUUUAUAUCUAUAUAUUGUGUCGGUUUUAAGCUUAACGUUAUAUUGCAAAAAUAAAAAAAACCAUCCCUGGCAAAGGCUUAGAAAAGCAAAAGAAACACACACGAAACAAAAAAAAAAAAAACGAAGAAAAAAGAAGCGAAAUAAAACAAAAAGCUGAUCCAAAACCGCAUACACAAUACAACGGGUCACCUAGGCGUAUACGCAACUUAAUUUGUCUUCCUCAUUCGGGCUGUUGCCAAAUUGUUUGUUACAGAUCAGAUUUUUUCUUUCUCUCGGGUUAAAUUUGUUUAUUUUUUGUUCUAAAUUUUGAGAAAAAAAGGGUUUUCAAGGUUUUUUUUUGUAUCUAUUUUGGAAAAUAAAAUCCAUAAAAUAUGAGUGCAAUGCAAUAUUCGGUGAAAUAUUUUUUGAUAAAAAUAAAAUAAUUUUUAUCAAAUAAAAUUGAAAAAUAAAAAAAAAAAAAUUCUAAAUUAUUUGUUUCUAUAAAAAUUAAAAAAAAAAAAAAUAAAUAAACGACGAAAAAAGAUCCUUGCAGCUGUUACGGCCACCCCCCCCAAAGGAGGAAUAUAAAAAGGAGAAGAACUUUUCCAAUUGAUGCUCGGUUUAAAACAAACAUAAAGGACAAUUUUCAGUCAAAAGCCCUUCAGGGUACACCAAACUGGCACAUCAAUUUUGGUUUUCUUAUCCGCCACCCGGCGCUGGUGGAGGUUCUUCGAGCACUAUACAAAUUGGAGAAUUCAAUUUUUGUUGUUUACAAUACUGAAGCGUACGGAUUUUGGAAAAUGAGAUACUAUCGUGAAAUUUGGUACAGAUUGUUAUCAGACACGGUAAUACCAACUUAUAAAAAUUUAAAAUACUUGUCCCUAGCGAAAUGACAAUUCAUUUCGCUGUAAAUCGAGACAUAGUUUCUUUAUCGCAAGUUAAAGGGGAUAGGAAAAUUUUGCUUGUAUUUAAGGUUUCAACUCAAUAAAGUAUGAUACAUAUUGGGUGAAAAACCAGUGCAUUUAGGGUAAGAGAUGCCGGGGACUUACUUGUUUUUAAAUAAAAUGCACAA
Molecule: long non-coding RNA, 1420 nt
Organism: Episyrphus balteatus (marmalade hoverfly)
Lineage: Eukaryota; Metazoa; Arthropoda; Insecta; Diptera; Syrphidae
Exons: 3
Source: RefSeq, a predicted model, not a curated record